UACGUAGGCAGCGAGCGUUGUUCGGAAUUACUGGGCGUAAAGAGUGUGUAGGCGGUGCUCUAAGUUCGGUGUGAAAUCUCCUGGCUUAACUGGGAGGGUGCGCCGAAAACUGGAGUGCUCAAGCGUGGGAGAGGAAAGCGGAAUUCCUGGUGUAGCGGUGAAAUGCGUAGAUAUCAGGAGGAACACCUGCGGUGUAGACGGCUUUCUGGACCAUUGCUGACGCUGAGACACGAAAGCGUGGGUAGCAAACAGG
RNAcentral lists this ribosomal RNA (253 nucleotides) under uncultured bacterium. RNAcentral describes it as "partial 16S ribosomal RNA". It matches the Rfam family "Bacterial small subunit ribosomal RNA", at positions 524 to 776 of the family's 1533-position model. The record is from RNAcentral.